AGGGAUGUAGCUCAGCAGCACAGUGCUUGCCUGGCAAGCACAAGGUCCUGAGUUCGAUUCCCAGUACCCCUC
Molecule: transfer RNA, 72 nt
Filed under: Cavia porcellus (domestic guinea pig)
Lineage: Eukaryota; Metazoa; Chordata; Mammalia; Rodentia; Caviidae
Rfam family: tRNA
About the family: Transfer RNA (tRNA) molecules are approximately 80 nucleotides in length. Their secondary structure includes four short double-helical elements and three loops (D, anti-codon, and T loops). Further hydrogen bonds mediate the characteristic L-shaped molecular structure. tRNAs have two regions of fundamental functional importance: the anti-codon, which is responsible for specific mRNA codon recognition, and the 3' end, to which the tRNAs corresponding amino acid is attached (by aminoacyl-tRNA synthetases). tRNAs cope with the degeneracy of the genetic code in two manners: having more than one tRNA (with a specific anti-codon) for a particular amino acid; and 'wobble' base-pairing, i.e. permitting non-standard base-pairing at the 3rd anti-codon position.
Source: Rfam by way of RNAcentral